UCCAAGGUUUUUUUUAAAACCACCUCUAAGUAAUCUCAUUUUAUAU
Non-coding RNA from Nestor notabilis (Kea), 46 nucleotides. Lineage: Eukaryota; Metazoa; Chordata; Aves; Psittaciformes; Psittacidae. The record is from Rfam.